GUAGUCUGCCAUACGCAGGAAGACCCGCUGAACUGAAGCAUCUCAUUAAGCGGAGGAAAAGAAACUAACUAGGAUUCCCUUAGUAAAGGCGAUCGAAAAGGGAACAGCCCAACGUCUUAAUCCCGCAAGGGAAAUGUAGUCGGUUCACCUAUUGCACUGGUCUAAGUCAGAUGGAAUGCUGCGCGAUUCAGAGUAAAAGCCUCGUAUGACCAACCGCAAGCUUACGAUGGACCGGGGAGAGUCGGAUACUUUGAGAGUAGUGUCUUAAGGGGGUGGUAUGUCCCAUCCAAGGCUAAAUAACGUGAGGAGACCGAUAGAUUACAAGUAGUGUGAACGAAAGAUGAAAAGAACUCUAAAACAGAGGGUGAAAAGUUCCUGAACUUGCUUAGGGUUAAGGCUAUUUAUAGUACCCGUCUUGAAACACGGAUUAGGGAGUUUAUCUGUAGUGCGAGUCUUUGCACGUUAACUGUAAAGGCGUAGAGAAAGCAACUGGCGUUUGCAUGGCUACUGAGCAUUACUGAUAGGACCCGAAAGGUGGUGAACUUUGCCUGCACAGGUUGAAGUCAGGGGAAACUCUGAUGGAGGACCGUACGGGUUAUUGAUGUGCAAAUCAUUUUUCUGAUGUAGGUAAAGGUGCGAAAGA
RNAcentral lists this non-coding RNA (643 nucleotides) under Trichomonas vaginalis G3. RNAcentral's name for it is "Eukaryotic large subunit ribosomal RNA". It matches the Rfam family "Eukaryotic large subunit ribosomal RNA", at positions 1 to 930 of the family's 3401-position model. Lineage: Eukaryota; Parabasalia; Trichomonadida; Trichomonadidae. The record is from Rfam by way of RNAcentral.